RNAcentral lists this ribosomal RNA (255 nucleotides) under uncultured bacterium. RNAcentral describes it as "partial 16S ribosomal RNA". It matches the Rfam family "Bacterial small subunit ribosomal RNA", at positions 793 to 1055 of the family's 1533-position model. The record is from RNAcentral.
GUCCACGCCGUAAACGAUGGAUACUAGCUGUUGGGGGCAACUUCAGUGGCUAAGCGAAAGUGAUAAGUAUCCCACCUGGGGAGUACGUUCGCAAGAAUGAAACUCAAAGGAAUUGACGGGGGCCCGCACAAGCGGUGGAGCAUGUGGUUUAAUUCGAUGAUACGCGAGGAACCUUACCAAGGCUUAAAUGUAGUCUGACCGAUUUGGAAACAGAUCUUUCGCAAGACAGAUUACAAGGUGCUGCAUGGUUGUCGU